GACGAACGCUGGCGGCGUGCUUAACACAUGCAAGUCGAACGGAAAGGCCCUGCUUUUGUUGGGUGCUCGAGUGGCGAACGGGUGAGUAACACGUGAGUAACCUGCCCUUGACUUUGGGAUAACUUCAGGAAACUGCGGCUAUUACCGGAUAUGAGCUCCUGCUGCAUGUUGUGGGUUGGAGAGUUUCGGCGGUGGUGUAUGUACUCGCUGCUUAUCAGCUUGUUUGUGGGGUAGUUGCUUACCAAGGCUUUGACGGGUAGCCUGCAUGAGAGGGUGACCGGCCACAUUGGGACUGAGAUACGGACCAGACUCCUACGGGAGGCAGCAGUGGGGAAUAUUGCACAAUGGGCGGAAGCCUGAUGCAGCAACGCCGCGUGCGGGAUGACGGCCUUCGGGUUGUAAACAGCUUUCGAAUGUGACGAAGCGUGAGUGACGGUAAUGGGUAAAGAAGCACCGGCUAACUACGUG
RNAcentral lists this ribosomal RNA (468 nucleotides) under uncultured bacterium. RNAcentral describes it as "partial 16S ribosomal RNA". It matches the Rfam family "Bacterial small subunit ribosomal RNA", at positions 28 to 507 of the family's 1533-position model. The record is from RNAcentral.